GGCUCAGAUUGAACGCUGGCGGAAUGCUUUACACAUGCAAGUCGAGCGGCAGCGCGGGGCAACCUGGCGGCGAGCGGCGAACGGGUGAGUAAUACAUCGGAACGUGCCCAGACGUGGGGGAUAACUACUCGAAAGAGUGGCUAAUACCGCAUACGAUCUACGGAUGAAAGCGGGGGAUCGCAAGACCUCGCGCGUCUGGAGCGGCUGAUGGCAGAUUAGGUAGUUGGUGGGAUAAAAGCCUACCAAGCCAACGAUCUGUAGCUGGUCUGAGAGGAUGAUCAGCCACACUGGGACUGAGACACGGCCCAGACUCCUACGGGAGGCAGCAGUGGGGAAUUUUGGACAAUGGGCGAAGCCUGAUCCAGCCAUUCCGCGUGCAGGAUGAAGGCCCUCGGGUGUAACUGCUUUGUACAGAACGAAAAAGCUACUGGCUAAUACCUGGAGUCCAUGACGGUACUGUAAGAAUAAGCACCGGCUAACUACGUGCCAGCA
RNAcentral lists this ribosomal RNA (492 nucleotides) under uncultured bacterium. RNAcentral describes it as "bacterial SSU rRNA". It matches the Rfam family "Bacterial small subunit ribosomal RNA", at positions 21 to 513 of the family's 1533-position model. The record is from RNAcentral.